GCAUGACAGGGGAUGAUGAUCAUUUCUUUGCAUCCCCUUUCAAAGUGUGAAAACUUCCUUUUUCUGUAAAGUCUCAUUCUCGGAGUGAGGCUGUGUGUGACAGACUGAUACAAGUGGGUCCUCUGAGGAAUCCAGUUGUCGUCCCACAUGAGAUGGAGGCUCAGACAGUCACGUGGUUGGUUUUUCUGGCCCUAAUAAAACAUGUUUCUACAAGUGACCCUGGAAGUCCCGUUAAAUACCCGCCCACUAAACCUAAACUGUCUAUGAGUUCUGAGGUCACAGAAGGUCAGACCAUCACCAUCAGCUGCACUGUUGAAAGUUUCCCACAGUCAACUCUCACCUUGAUGAAGAUCAACACAAAUCCUCAGUCUUUAAAAAGCACUGAAAAUAAUAUUUAUUCACAAACCAGCAACUCCCUCUACCACACGUUUACUGUGACUUCAUCCGACGCUGGCUGGUACUUCUGCCGUGCCCAGAACACUGAGGGCUCAAAGGACAGCAAGCAGCAGGAGUUGGUGGUGAAAUGUGAGUGUUUCAGCUGCGGCUUUAUGUUUUAAACAAACAAAUCAGAAAAAAUCUUCCAUAAAAAAAAUUGUCAAUGCAGCAGAAAAAUCUUCUCAUGUAUUUUUUCAGUGAUCCAGUUUUUUCAUUAAUUUUUACUUCUGAUAGUUGAAACAACAGCACCUCAGGAAUUUAUAACCGUAAGAACUUAAAUCUCAGGGCUCUUGUUUCAAAAGCUUUGUCCCCAAACUUUGUCUUCAUGUAUAGAUUUAGUUUGAAUUCUGAACUAAAAUCUUCUGCAUAGUAUUCACAAUAUUACAUUCUUAGUGGACCAU
Molecule: long non-coding RNA, 836 nt
Organism: Pleuronectes platessa (European plaice)
Lineage: Eukaryota; Metazoa; Chordata; Actinopteri; Pleuronectiformes; Pleuronectidae
Exons: 4
Source: RefSeq, a predicted model, not a curated record